RNAcentral lists this ribosomal RNA (497 nucleotides) under uncultured bacterium. RNAcentral describes it as "partial 16S ribosomal RNA". It matches the Rfam family "Bacterial small subunit ribosomal RNA", at positions 28 to 507 of the family's 1533-position model. The record is from RNAcentral.
GAUGAACGCUGGCGGCGUGCCUAAUACAUGCAAGUCGAGCGAACAGACGAGGAGCUUGCUCCUCUGACGUUAGCGGCGGACGGGUGAGUAACACGUGGAUAACCUACCUAUAAGACUGGGAUAACUUCGGGAAACCGGAGCUAAUACCGGAUAAUAUAUUGAACCGCAUGGUUCAAUAGUGAAAGACGGUUUUGCUGUCACUUAUAGAUGGAUCCGCGCCGCAUUAGCUAGUUGGUAAGGUAACGGCUUACCAAGGCAACGAUGCGUAGCCGACCUGAGAGGGUGAUCGGCCACACUGGAGCUGGGACACGGUCCAGACUCCUACGGGAGGCAGCAGUAGGGAAUCUUCCGCAAUGGGCGAAAGCUUGACGGAGCAACGCCGCGUGAGUGAUGAAGGUCUUCGGAUCGUAAAACUCUGUUAUUAGGGAAGAACAAAUGUGUAAGUAACUAUGCACGUCUUGACGGUACCUAAUCAGAAAGCCACGGCUAACUACGUG